AAGUGCUGCUAGCUAAAAUUACCGACACUUUUAAAAAGUAUUGCUAUAUGUGGGGUCGCUAGGUAUAUAGUGACAGUUAAAGAGUGUCGCUAUAAUUUAAAAUAAUGCUGCUAAUUUAUCAACACUUAUUUAAGCAUUUAGCAACCGCCGAAACUCUAUCUCGUUGACUGCGGUGGCGGAGGAGGACGACAGGAAAGGCUCUUCAUCUAGAAUUUUAGUGGAUUGAGUGAAGAGAGAAGAAAAGAUGAUAAUUGAUUUUUCUUUUUUUUUUCUUUUCUGUUUGUAAUUGGGCCAAGUGGACUGGGUGUGGUGGGUUGAAUAGAGUAAUCUUUUAUUUUUGGUUGGAUUGAGCUUUAUAUUUAGGCAUUAGUAGAUAUUUUUUUAAGUUUUAGGAUAAAUGAGACACUUACUCAAAAGUGUCCCAAACAUAUGUCCCUAUAACCUAAUUCUGUUGUAGUGAACCGCCCAUUAUUCUUUUUUAUUUCAUUUAUUCCAACCAAACACUAUUUUGCUUAUAACUGAACUAAAACCAAUACUCAAACAAAUACAAAAUUACUCUAUACCCAUCUUAUACCUCAUCUUAAUUAUAUCUAUAUCUGAAACAACUAAUUCUUAUUUACACCUGAACUAAACGAAACCUAAAUAAUUAUUUUAGAUUUAGUUCAACUCGGCUUAUCUGUUAACAUUUAAAGCAUUGUCCAUUGAUAAAAUUAUGGUGUAAAAUUUAUGUUUUAUUUUUGAAUAUAUAAAUAAUAUUUGUUUAUUGUUUUAUUUUCAUGAAAUUUGUAGACAUGACAUGUUGGA
RNAcentral lists this long non-coding RNA (804 nucleotides) under Ananas comosus (pineapple). Its description in RNAcentral is "long non-coding RNA (ACOM_LNC012648)". Lineage: Eukaryota; Viridiplantae; Streptophyta; Magnoliopsida; Poales; Bromeliaceae. The record is from RNAcentral.